UGCUGGCUGUAACCUCCCAAGGACGAUUACUGCUUGCCUGAAGAUUAGGUCACCUGGAAGGACAUUAAAGGCCACUGGUCUAGUGAGGGUUCUGAAAUGAACCAUUUUCUCAAGACGCAGGGCCUUCUAAUGGAAAUCAUGACAACAAGGGCUACUAUUUUGAGAAAAGUUACUCAGUGGCAGGCUUGGGUCCAAAUGCUUCGUGCGCACGCUCCGCUCUCCUCAGCUGAAAGGAUACUUGUUAUAGCUACGGCCUCGGUGGCUCGACUGCCUUGGGUUCUAAUUAGAAGACCUUGGGCCAGUCGCAGGCCCUCCACCUACCUCCUGCUUUGUCUGGAGAUUGAGGUUACAAAUGAUUUUCACCUCAAAGGAUUAUAGAGGACCUGACUCAUACUUGGUGAACCAUCUUGACAGCCUCCACCUGAGAUUCUUUGUGGUUCUCACCCUAAUGCCAUGAGAUUUGGAGUUGGACCAUUUGAUGGUGAUUAAUUGAUGUUGUAAGACUGGACCACUAUCAAAAGAAGAACCUAAGCCCAAUUCCAAGGCGGCUCAAUGAACCUCUUUCUGGUCACUUCCCUAGACAACGUCCAGGGUGUUUUGCUGGCUGAUGCAGAUUCAGGACUGUGUAUGACAACAGCCAUGAGUCAGACCUAGAAGACAUCAACCCUUGCUGCUCCAACCAUCAUCUGGGAUGUGAUAAGAUCAGUGUUUCAGGGGAGCUUUUCAAUGAGGGUGCGUGUUUGAGCUGAUGAUUUCAUGAACACAGAAGAACUGAAGAAGGGGGAGGAGCUAUGAGUUCCCUUGUUUGUCAGCUCUUUCACACAUUGCUCUGAGACCCUCCUCUGCAAGAGACAUCCUUUGCCCCCUGGAAGACACAUCUUCACAUACCCAGCCUGCACUUACUGGAUCACAAACAGAUAGAGGUGGGAGCUCAGUCGCCCAGGAUGUGUGACUCAGUGUGAAGACUGGUGGGGUAUGGAGCAGAUAUCCCUGAGUUCAUUCACUUGAGACCACAACAGCUAGCAUCUUUGGAGUGGUGGCUCCUUUAAGAGUCAGAGGAGACAAGUGCUGGAUUGUGUCAACUCUAAGUCUAUACCGUGGCUAGAAGGCUCUAGAUAAUGUUUCACUUCUUAUGUCUCCUAUCUGCAAAUAUGAGGAGUGGGGAUGGUUAAGAAUUUGGGUCCUGGGGUCUGACAUUGCCAGGGGUUUAGGCCUCUGGUCCACUGGGCGAGGAAUGUAUGGGUUAGUGAAAGUAAUUUUUGUUCCCACUUUCUGGCAUGUGGCUGUGGUCACAGACUUUAAUGACAUAAAACAACAGCAAAAUCAUAAACAGAGCACAGAGCAAGUGAUGCCCAUGGUCCAGAGAACAGGGCAUGAGGUACCCUCUGCGAAUGUGGGAAAGAAAUUGGCAGGCCUCGAAUGGGGACUAGAAGCCAGCCUCUAGUGCUUUUCUUCCUCUGGACCGUUUCUUCCAUCCUGCUCUGUGCUCAUGCAAAGCAACAUCAAAAGGAAUCCUCUCAUUAACCCUUUGUGUCGUCUUUGUUCCCGAUUUAGAGCACCCACACUCAGAUUAUUUUUAGAGGCUGCGAGGAGUCAGAAGUCACCCCUGUUCACAGAGAACCCAGCUGCCAUCUUCAAAGGUAGCCCUGGUUCCGCCCUUUGCAGGACAUUCUGGGGCACAGACAGAAAACACAAAGGCUAGAGAUCUUUACUGUCUUUCUGAUGCUUACCUUCUCCCUCCCCCACCCACAUGACCUGCGAAAGUUAAAAUUCUCUCUCUCUCUCUCUCUCUCUCUCUCUC
This is a long non-coding RNA of Mus musculus (house mouse), 1801 nucleotides long. RefSeq annotates it as predicted gene, 34077. The record is from RefSeq and is a predicted model, not a curated record. NCBI's taxonomy places the organism in Eukaryota, Metazoa, Chordata, Mammalia, Rodentia, Muridae. The transcript has 4 exons.